AUGCGGUAUGACGGUACCCUUUCGAAUAAGAGGUUGCUAACUCUGUGCCAGCAGCAGCGGUAAUACAGAGACCUCGAGCGUUAUCCGGAUUUACUGGGCGUAAAGCGUCUGUAGGGGGUUUGUUAAGUUCCAAGUAAAAUCUUAAGGCUCAACUUUAAGUUCGCUUGGAAAACUAAUAAACUGGAGUCCAGCAGAGGUGCAUGGAACUUGCGGUGUAGGAGUGAAAUCCGUUGAUAUCGCAAGGAACACCAAAGGCGAAGGCAUUGCACUGGGCUGGUACUGACCCUGAGAGACGAAAGCGUGGGGAGCAAAACGGAUUAGAUACCCGUGUAGUCCACGCCGUAAACGAUGGAUACUAGAUGUUCGGGGAUUCGACCCCCUGGGUGUCACAGCUAACGCGUUAAGUAUCCCGCCUGGGAAGUACGGCCGCAAGGCUAAAACUCAAAGGAAUAGACGGGGAUCCGCACAAGCGGUGGAGCGUCUGGUUUAAUUUGAUAGUAAGCAAUGGACCUCACCAAGGUUUGACAUCCUAUGACAACCCUGGAAACAGGGCUUCCUUCGGGCAUAGUGACAGGUGCUGCAUGGUCGUCGUCAGUUCGUGCCGUGAGGUGUUCCGUUAAGUCGGGAAACGAGCGAAACCCUCGUCGCAUGUUACAAAUUUCAUGCGAGACUGCCCGGGUCAACCGGGAGGAAGGCGGGGAUGACGUCAGAUCAGCAUGGCCCUUAUACCUUGGGCUACACAGGCGCUACAAUGGCCGGUACAAAGGGUUGCAAAACCGCGAGGUGAAGCUAAUCCCAUAAAGCCGGUCCAAGUUCGGAUUGGAGGCUGCAACUCGCCUCCAUGAAGUUGGAAUCGCUAGUAAUCGUGGAUCAGCCAUACCACGGUGAAUACGUUCCCGGAUCUUGUACUCACCGCCCGUCACACCAAGAGAGUUGGUAGCUCCUGAAGC
RNAcentral lists this ribosomal RNA (950 nucleotides) under uncultured organism. Its description in RNAcentral is "bacterial SSU rRNA". It matches the Rfam family "Bacterial small subunit ribosomal RNA", at positions 462 to 1427 of the family's 1533-position model. The record is from RNAcentral.